This 1008-nucleotide long non-coding RNA is filed under the name Amborella trichopoda. Its description in RNAcentral is "long non-coding RNA (ATRI_LNC004694)". The record is from RNAcentral. Lineage: Eukaryota; Viridiplantae; Streptophyta; Magnoliopsida; Amborellales; Amborellaceae.
UUGUAGCAUGCAUCUGCCAUGGCCACAAUCUGGGCCAUCUAGAAGGAGAUAAACUAUUGUAUUUUGGUAAGCCUGCAGUGGCUACAAAGACUUCCAAGCCUAUUCUGGCCAUACUUCGCGAGUAACUGGCAGGCCAUCCCAUCCUCGAAGCCAGCUUCCACUGUGAGAUCUAGCCUUUAGAAGCCACCUAUCCAUUGGAUCGUUAAAAUUAACAUAGAUCGCUGCUCGCUUGGUAAACCUUGCUUCCCAACACUUUUUUUUUUUUAAUUUGUUAAACUUUCUAUUAAGUUAAAGAGCUAUACGGUAUGCAAAAAAUUCUGCCCUUGAGGGGAAAGAGGGGAAAGAGAGUGGCCAGAGAUAGGCCAGGUCAAAAACUGUAAUACAAGCAAAAAAUUGCAUCGCUUCUAAAAGAGCCAAAGUAAAAGGUCUUCUAUGAUAGAGCUUGAGAAGCACCCUCCUUAGUCAGAGCGUCGGCCACCAGAUUGCCCUCCCGCCAAGUAUCUGUCCAUGAGAUCUGAAUAUGCCUUCGAAUAUUAAAAAUCUCGUCAAAGAUAGCUGUGAAUCUCCGAGGAGUAGCCUUGCGUGAGGCCCAAGAGAUGACAUUUCUAGUGUCACUCUCCACAACCAAGACUAAGCUCUAGGAGUAAUCGAAGAGUUUGAGGUGUAGAACGUUGCCCCCCAACAUUUGGAUCUACCUAUCGAGAUUUCCAGGGUCAAAUACUGCUCACCAUCUCAGGGCACACAGGCAUAGUUAACUUUACAAUGGCCCAAAAUAUUCCCCCUUCUCAAAGGGCGAAAGAGAUUCGAUCUGAUCUGGGAUAACUUACUAGUUAAACUCAGGAAAAGUGAUGAGCGCUUCAAGGUAUGGUCAUUGGUCGUGGAGACUUAAACCCGUUUUCUAUAACAUUUUUUACCUCUGUGGGCCCCAACAUGGAAUUUUCGCAGACAUCUAGGGUGAGGUUAAUGCGGAUUCAUUAGCCAAAGAAGGGGUUGCAGGCACAAACAUUG